UACGAAGGGGGCUAGCGUUGUUCGGAAUUACUGGGCGUAAAGCGCGCGCAGGCGGUUUUUCAAGUCAGUGGUGAAAGCCCGGAGCUCAACUCCGGAACUGCCAUUGAAACUGUAAAACUUGAGGAUGAGAGAGGUGAGUGGAAUUCCCAGUGUAGAGGUGAAAUUCGUAGAUAUUGGGAAGAACACCGGUGGCGAAGGCGGCUCACUGGCUCAUUACUGACGCUCAGGCGCGACAGCGUGGGGAUCAAACAGG
RNAcentral lists this ribosomal RNA (253 nucleotides) under uncultured bacterium. RNAcentral's name for it is "partial 16S ribosomal RNA". It matches the Rfam family "Bacterial small subunit ribosomal RNA", at positions 524 to 776 of the family's 1533-position model. The record is from RNAcentral.